UGGGGAAUUUUUGGCAAUGGGCGAAAGCCUGACCAAGCAACGCCGCGUGGAUGAUGAAGUAUCUCGGUACGUAACAUCCUUUCGACGGGGACGAAACCGCAAGGUUGACGGUACCCGUAGAAGAAGCCCCGGCUAACUCCGUGCCAGCAGCCGCGGUAAUACGGGGGGGGGCAAGCGUUGUUCGGAAUUACUGGGCGUAAAGGGCGCGUAGGCGGCUCGCUAAGUCGGAUGUGAAAACUCUGGGCUCAACCCAGAGCCUGCAUUCGAAACUGACGAGCUAGAGUUCUGGAGGGGAAAGCGGAAUUCCUGGUGUAGCGGUGAAAUGCGUAGAUAUCAGGAGGAACACCGGUGGCGAAGGCGGCUUUCUGGACAGAAACUGACGCUGAGGCGCGAAAGCUAGGGGAGCAAAC
This 410-nucleotide ribosomal RNA is filed under the name uncultured bacterium. RNAcentral describes it as "bacterial SSU rRNA". It matches the Rfam family "Bacterial small subunit ribosomal RNA", at positions 355 to 773 of the family's 1533-position model. The record is from RNAcentral.